UGGGGAAUAUUGGACAAUGGAGGAAACUCUGAUCCAGCAAUUCUGUGUGUGUGAAGAAGGUUUUAGGACUGUAAAACACUUUUAGUAGGGAAGAAAAAAAUGACGGUACCUACAGAAGAAGCAACGGCUAAAUACGUGCCAGCAGCCGCGGUAAUACGGAAGGUCCAGGCGUUAUCCGGAUUUAUUGGGUUUAAAGGGAGUGUAGGCGGUUGGUUAAGCGUGUUGUGAAAUGUAGAUGCUCAACAUCUGACUUGCAGCGCGAACUGGCUGACUUGAGUACACACAACGUAGGCGGAAUUCAUAGUGUAGCGGUGAAAUGCUUAGAUAUCAUGAAGAACUCCGAUUGCGAAGGCAGCUUACGGGAGUGUUACUGACGCUUAAGCUCGAAGGUGCGGGUAUCGAACAGG
RNAcentral lists this ribosomal RNA (407 nucleotides) under Verrucomicrobiota bacterium. RNAcentral describes it as "Verrucomicrobia bacterium partial 16S ribosomal RNA". It matches the Rfam family "Bacterial small subunit ribosomal RNA", at positions 355 to 776 of the family's 1533-position model. The record is from RNAcentral. Lineage: Bacteria; Pseudomonadati; Verrucomicrobiota.